GACUGCUAUCAAAGUGGGACUAAGCCAUGCCAGUCAGCAUAGAAAUAUGUGGCAUACGGCUCAGUAACACGUAGUCAACAUGCCCAGGGGACGCGGAUAAGCUCGGGAAACUGAGGAUAAACCGCGAUAGGUCAUCACUUCUGGAAUGGGUAAUGACUUAAAUCUAUAUGGCCCCUGGAUUGGACUGCGGCCGAUCAGGCUGUUGGUGAGGUAAUGGCCCACCAAACCUGUAACCGGUACGGGCUCUGAGAGGAGGAGCCCGGAGAUGGGCACUGAGACAAGGGCCCAGGCCCUAUGGGGCGCAGCAGGCGCGAAACCUCUGCAAUAGGCGAAAGCUUGACAGGGUUACUCUGAGUGAUUUCCGUUAAAGAGAUCUUUUGGCACCUCUAAAAAUGGUGCAGAAUAAGGGGUGGGCAAGUCUGGAGUCAGCCGCCGCGGUAAUACCAACACCCCGAGUGGUCGGGACGUUUAUUGGUCCUAAAGCAUCCGUAGCCGGUUCUACAAGUCUUCCGUUAAAUCCACCUGCUUAACAGAUGGGCU
RNAcentral lists this ribosomal RNA (540 nucleotides) under uncultured archaeon. RNAcentral describes it as "bacterial SSU rRNA". It matches the Rfam family "Archaeal small subunit ribosomal RNA", at positions 25 to 572 of the family's 1478-position model. The record is from RNAcentral.